This is a long non-coding RNA of Grammomys surdaster, 990 nucleotides long. RefSeq lists it as uncharacterized. The record is from RefSeq and is a predicted model, not a curated record. NCBI's taxonomy places the organism in Eukaryota, Metazoa, Chordata, Mammalia, Rodentia, Muridae. The transcript is spliced from 3 exons.
CAGGCUUCUAUAACUUGUAAGAUGGCGGCGUCCGCAUGUAUGCGUGCUUCCCGGGAUUAGCAAGGCAGCUAGAGGAUGACUUAAUGAGGAGAGUGGAGAAACUGGCCAGUUAAUGAACAUGCCCUGUUCAAGAUGUUCAACUUCUCAGCUGCUGCCCCAGCUACCAUGCGUGCUGCCUGCCACCUCCACUCGAUCAUGGAACUGUCCUUUUCUACUCCAUCUGCUAUCCAGAUUUGCCUAAACCACCAUCCAACCAACAAGGACUAGCCCUCUGAUGUGUGAAUUCAGAUACCAGCCUAUGAUUCAGAGACUGCCACCUGAUAAAGACAUCAUAAUUCAUCAGGCUGUGGCCAGAAUGAUCUCAGUGCCGUCUAGCCCCCUACCACCACCUUUUCUAUAAAAUGUGUCCCUCUGUUCCCUUUACCUAAAUGAAGAAGCUGAAAACAAAAAAGGCUGAAUUGAAAACCUUAUGUCGCAUAAGUGAGGAGUGUGUCCAUCUCAGAAAUGGGCCUUUCAGGGAGCAAAGCCCUAAACACAGAAAGCUACCGGCAAGGACACAUUCCGCUUCGCAUGCACUCAGGGCCUAGAAGCCGCUGGGCAGUGGUACAUCAAAGAAGUCAUGUGCUCACUAGACACAUUCUCCUGCAGAAUUUUCCAAUUGUCCCUUUAUCUCAAAAUGUAUUUGGGACUUUUUAAGCAUCCGCCCCAGCCCAAACUAUUAAGUUUAAAGCACCUUUUAAUCCAAUUUUGUAAUGUCAACCAACUUGGGGCGUUCUUGAGGUACACUUCCCCCUCAUUAUGGGACCGUAACCUUUUGAUUUUGUGGGUGGUCUAAAGCAUUACCUCAGACUAUGUGCCAUUGGCUCAAAUAAACCUUUGGUCUGAAGGACAUUCUGACUCGGUGAGUCCUUUGACACCCCCCCACCCCACUCCAGUAAUGGGGUACCUGAGCAAGUUUGUUGAAAUAAAACAAGAUAGUUUGCUGCGCCA